UGGGGAAUAUUGCACAAUGGGGGAAACCCUGAUGCAGCAACGCCGCGUGAGUGAAGAAGUGAUUCGUUAUGUAAAGCUCUAUCAGCAGGGAAGAAAAUGACGGUACCUGAGUAAGCAGCCCCGGCUAACUACGUGCCAGCAGCCGCGGUAAUACGUAGGGGGCAAGCGUUAUCCGGAUUUACUGGGUGUAAAGGGAGCGUAGACGGCCAUGCAAGUCUGAAGUGAAAUGCCAGUGCUCAACACUGGAACUGCUUUGGAAACUGUGAGGCUGGAGUGCAGGAGAGGUAAGUGGAAUUCCUAGUGUAGCGGUGAAAUGCGUAGAUAUUAGGAGGAACACCAGUGGCGAAGGCGGCUUACUGGACUGUAACUGACGUUGAGGCUCGAAAGCGUGGGGAGCAAACAGG
RNAcentral lists this ribosomal RNA (404 nucleotides) under Acidobacteriota bacterium. Its description in RNAcentral is "Acidobacteria bacterium partial 16S ribosomal RNA". It matches the Rfam family "Bacterial small subunit ribosomal RNA", at positions 355 to 776 of the family's 1533-position model. The record is from RNAcentral. Lineage: Bacteria; Pseudomonadati; Acidobacteriota.